RNAcentral lists this ribosomal RNA (701 nucleotides) under Listeria monocytogenes. RNAcentral's name for it is "partial 23S ribosomal RNA". It matches the Rfam family "Bacterial large subunit ribosomal RNA", at positions 677 to 1375 of the family's 2925-position model. The record is from RNAcentral. Lineage: Bacteria; Bacillati; Bacillota; Bacilli; Caryophanales; Listeriaceae.
GCGAGUCUGAAUAGGGCGCAUAAGUAACAGGUCGUAGACCCGAAACCAGGUGAUCUACCCAUGUCCAGGAUGAAGGUAAGGUAAUACUUACUGGAGGUCCGAACCCACGCACGUUGAAAAGUGCGGGGAUGAGGUGUGGGUAGCGGAGAAAUUCCAAUCGAACUUGGAGAUAGCUGGUUCUCUCCGAAAUAGCUUUAGGGCUAGCCUCGAGGUAAAGAGUCAUGGAGGUAGAGCACUGUUUGGACUAGGGGCCCUUCUCGGGUUACCGAAUUCAGAUAAACUCCGAAUGCCAUGUACUUAUACUCGGGAGUCAGACUGCGAGUGAUAAGAUCCGUAGUCGAAAGGGAAACAGCCCAGACCACCAGUUAAGGUCCCCAAAUAUAUGUUAAGUGGAAAAGGAUGUGGGGUUGCUUAGACAACCAGGAUGUUGGCUUAGAAGCAGCCACCAUUGAAAGAGUGCGUAAUAGCUCACUGGUCGAGUGACCCCGCGCCGAAAAUGUACCGGGGCUAAACAUAUUACCGAAACUGUGGAUGAACCUCUUUAGAGGUUCGUGGUAGGAGAGCGUUCUAAGGGCGGUGAAGUCAGACCGGAAGGACUGGUGGAGCGCUUAGAAGUGAGAAUGCCGGUAUGAGUAGCGAAAGAAGGGUGAGAAUCCCUUCCACCGAAUAUCUAAGGUUUCCUGAGGAAGGCUCGUCCGCUC